This 1315-nucleotide long non-coding RNA is filed under the name Triticum aestivum (bread wheat). RNAcentral describes it as "long non-coding RNA (TAES_LNC019847)". The record is from RNAcentral. Lineage: Eukaryota; Viridiplantae; Streptophyta; Magnoliopsida; Poales; Poaceae.
UGGAUCUCCAUAACAAUCUACUAUCCAAGUAUGUAAUCAAUCAUCUCAAGCAAAAACACACAAUACAUUUAAAGCAUGAUAAGGAUUGCUUCUAAAACCUGGCUCUUCUUUUGCAGAUUCUAGAAAAUAGCGAAGAACCGCCAGCUUUGUGUGCCCAACAAGAAACAAAUCCCAGCUCUUUUCAUGUAUGUAUUUCUCCAACUGAUCUCAAAUGAUACAAUUAGUGAUGGUCUGUUCGCUGUGAUGUUCACAUACUUGUGACAAUAUGCGUGCUUCUGUGAUGUAUGAUGGUAGCCUGUGUGGUGCUGGAUCAUUUGAGAUUAGUGUUGAUUAAUGGGGCUGUGUGAGGAUGUUGGAGGGAUCAUAGUAUAUUUUCUUAUGUCCAGUUGUCCAAUUUACAGUUGGUAUGCUGCCAAAAUUUAUAUCAGCCUUUGCAUGUCUUGGUUCUCAAUACUGUAAAUAGGAAAUUUUGUUUAGAACUUUGGUGACUUGAUGUAAUUCACUAAUUUUCAUUGCAACAGACUUGAGUGUAGUUCAUACUUUAUUUGGAAACGAAAAUCAUGACUUCUUUUGUGAUUAUGUGUAGAGUAAAAGUAAUAUCUCACAACCUAAGUUAUAUUCUGGGUUACUAGAGGUGUGAGAAGUACUUAACAUUACCCUUUUUAUUUCCUGGAAAAGUUUCAAAAUGCUCCCGUUCUUUGUGCACAUACCCUAGAAUAGUUUCACACUAUUCAAAUUACUGCAUUAGAAAUGAGUGACUAUGGCAACUUGAUCCUUAACUUAUAAUUCCUAUUUAAUUUCCUGUAGUAAGUUCUUAUUGUCAUGUUCCUACCUUUAAAGAUUUGUGAAUCUUACUUUUUAGGAACAUGGUGUUGCCUCAAGUGUUCCUGCUGCAAGUGUUCCUGAUGUAGACGAUGAAGGGAUGUUUGGGGGAUUUUUCAGUCAAUCUGGAGCUGGUGCACUCAGCUUAUCACUAUUGAGCAGCCAGUUGGUUCCUUGAUGUUCUUGGAUGUAUAGUGCGUGGAGUGCAUUUUGGUGCAUGUAUAGUUAACAUGCUGGUACAUGUUCUGUGAUGUAGGAAACUGUAGUUGACCUACAUCAGUCUGUACGUGCUAAUUGAGAUGCUUAAUCAAUUAGAUGUAGCAAACUCUAGCUAGCAAGCCUAUUUUUUAUCAAACUGUGAUGGCUCAUGAUGGCUGGUGGAUGUCUUGGCAUCUACUGUAUGCAUGUGACAAGUGAUAUCUAGAUGUAUAUAUUAAUUAUUUGACGUUAUUUUCAUUUCAUAAUUAUUGAUCCAUUUUGAAGUACUUUAAUU